UUGUAAAGUAAAAAUUAAUUAAGAAGAAAUUAAAUGAAAACAUUAAAUUUAAAUAGUUUGGCGGUACUUUAAAUAAUUAGAGGAAUUUGUUAAUUAAAUGAUAAUCCACGAAUGGAAAGUCCUAAUGGAGUUUUUAUGUAUUGUUGUAUAAAAAUUAUUUUAUAAGGAAUAUAAUUAAGAUAUUUAAUUUAAUUUGAAUAUAAAUCAAAAUGUAGAAUUGUUAGGAUUAAAUGAAUUACAAUUUAAUAUAAUAUUAGAAUUAUUUUUUAAAAUAAAGUAAUGAAAGAGGAUUUAAAAGUAAAUUUAAAUAAAUUUUUAAAUUGAAAAAUUAACUAAAGUAUG
This 342-nucleotide ribosomal RNA is filed under the name Pheidole psammophila. RNAcentral describes it as "partial 12S ribosomal RNA". Lineage: Eukaryota; Metazoa; Arthropoda; Insecta; Hymenoptera; Formicidae. The record is from RNAcentral.